UCCUUUUUUUUUGACCUUUGUCCCUUCAUUUAUCUAUUUAUUUUUAUUUUUAAUAGCUAAAAAGUUCUUUAAUUCAAUUAAUUAACUUUUCACCACCCACUUUAAUUGUCUUCUUUAUUAGAUAUCUUAAUAUGUAUUUAUGUGUUGUUACACCUUUUCCCUGCCCCACGUUGUGAACAGAAAAUGUAAGAUUUGCUUCUAGGAAAUUAAGGAGUCCAACAUUACUUGAGUGGAAAAGAUUAAAUCAAAUGAGAAAUGUUGAGAGUGCAGUUUCAUUAUCAAACACCAGCCUCAAGGUUCCAGAUGAUGACAUUGUCGUUCCUUUAAUUUGACGCCAGGAAGAUAUGAUGGCAUGAAACUUGAUUACGUGCAUUGAUUGUUCGUCCACUUCAAGCACUCAAAAUGGAUCUUCACAGGGGGUUUGAUUUGAUUACUUAGGUAAUUCUAGGCAAAGACGUUAUUUUCAAAUUGUGUUUUUGUUCUCUUCUAUUCUUUGAGUUCAUGAAUGUAUUCUUCUUUACCGUGAAUGUAUUCUUCUUUACCGUGUUAUGUUUUUGGAGAUUCAUUUUGUGAUGUUUUGGUUUCAAAUUAAUGUUGUUCUCUUUUUUUUUUUUUUUUUUUUUUUAAUUUCUUUGUUCUGAACAAAGAUCUUUGAUAAGAUGUAUGAUUCCAUUUUAUCUAUCAAUAAUGAAUUAUGAAACUUUCUCUCUGAGAUGUGAAACUAACAAGUCUAUUAGAAAGUCGAAUGAGAAAUUUUCACACGAAUUUUAAUUACGUAUUUUUAAUUGCUAUUAACUUUGCUCCUCCUCUUCUUCUUCUUCUUCUUCUCAUCUUGCGAUGAUGAAAAGCGUGUUUAUGUUAUUGUCAGCUUCUAAAUUAAGUUGACUAUGUUAUUAUUCCUUUUUUCUUUUCAAUGAA
Long non-coding RNA from Lycium ferocissimum, 918 nucleotides. RefSeq lists it as uncharacterized. Lineage: Eukaryota; Viridiplantae; Streptophyta; Magnoliopsida; Solanales; Solanaceae. The record is from RefSeq and is a predicted model, not a curated record. The transcript has 3 exons.